RNAcentral lists this ribosomal RNA (406 nucleotides) under uncultured bacterium. RNAcentral describes it as "partial 16S ribosomal RNA". It matches the Rfam family "Bacterial small subunit ribosomal RNA", at positions 28 to 526 of the family's 1533-position model. The record is from RNAcentral.
GAUGAACGCUAGCUACAGGCUUAACACAUGCAAGUCGAGGGACCGGCUCACGGGUGAGUAACACGUAUCCAACCUGCCCUUUACUCGGGGAUAGCCUUUCGAAAGAAAGAUUAAUACCCGAUAUAAAGGAUGGGGAUGCGUUCCAUUAGGUUGUUGGUGAGGUAACGGCUCACCAAGCCUUCGAUGGAUAGGGGUUCUGAGUGGAAGGGCCCCAAGAUUGGAACUGAGGCACGGUCCAAAAUCCUACGUGAGGCAGCAGUAAGGAAUAUUGGUCAAUGAGCGCUAGCCUGAACAAGCCAAGUAGCGGGAAGGAUGAAGAGUUAUGGGUCGUAAACUACUUUUAUAUAAGAAUAUGUAUUAUAUGAAUAAGGAUCGGCUAACUCCGUGCCAGCAGCCGCGGUAAUUC